Coturnix japonica (Japanese quail) is the source of this 2156-nucleotide non-coding RNA. Lineage: Eukaryota; Metazoa; Chordata; Aves; Galliformes; Phasianidae. The record is from RefSeq and is a predicted model, not a curated record.
CGCUCCGCACGCACCGCCCGGCCCGCCGCCAUCGGCCCCGCCGACACCGCCCCCACGGCUGGGCGGGACUGCGGGCAGGGCGCGGCCUACCGGGGAGCUCAGCUGGCGUCUGAUAGUGGCCCCGAGUUGCUGUGUGAGGUGCUGGGAGCGGAGCGAUUCGCUUUCAGGUGAGGCGGGGUGGAACCACACGGGAAUCGUUUCGAUUUCUGUUACGAACGCCUUGUUUUGUGACGUGCUGUCAUGGUUUGGUGUGGAAAUGCUCAAAAUCUAGCCAUGGUGGGACUUUAGGGCACAGGUAACUGCAGAAGACGGGAAAUACAAAAGAGCACCGAAAGGCUUCUGGAUCUACAGGCGGGAGCAAAAGUAGCUGGGUUUCCAAACGCUGGGAGAUCAGUCUAUUGUUUUCUGUGAAAUGGAGAAAUGCCUUUGAUCAUCACUGCUACCUCUCUUUCUCAGAAAGAUGUGAGGACUGGGACUUGCGGAUACAGAUCAUUCUCCUGGUUUGAUUUUCACUGUCACUGAUCACCCACAAACUAUACUCUUAAAAAAAUCAGCUGAAGUGUGCAACAGAAGAUGAUAACCAUUUCAAGCUUGUGGUUUAGAGCACACCACAACAAUGGAACCGUAAGCAAAUUAAAUAUAAGGGGACUUCAUAGAAUCAUAUAGAAUGGCCUGGGUUGGAAGGAACCUCAUGCAUCUCCAACCACCUUCCCCUCCCACUGGCAGGGCCACCAACCUCCACAUUUAAUACUAGACCAGAGCCCCAUCCAACCUGGCCUUGAACACCUCCAGGGAUGGGGCAUCCACAGCCUCUCUGGGCAGCCUGUUCCAGCACCUCACCACUCAUAAUAAAGAACUUGGCCCUGACAUCCAACCUAAAUCUUCCAUCCUUCAACUUAAAACCAUUUCCCCUUGUCCUAUUAUCUACCCUUUCAAAUAAUUGACUUCCCUACGUUGGCUUAAACAUCAGAAAAAUAAAAUAAAAUAAAAUAAAAUAAAAUAAAAUAAAAUAAAAUAAAAUAAAAUAAAAUAAAAUAAAAUAAAAUAAAAUAAAAUAAAAAAGAGUAGCAACUUGAUUUUUUUCAAGACCUUUUUAUUGUCCCCGUUGACUUAGCUAAUAACUGUAACUUAGUUAACUAUAGCCAGUAACUACAUAGGAACAAAUCUAAAAUUAACGAUUUGUUUAAUUGCAAGUAACAAGUAUCUUCAACAAAUGUGAAAACUAAAUGCCCCUCCCAGUCCAUUUUGUUCUCAUAUCUUGAAUGGCAGUGGGUUUGCAGUGUGGUUUCUGGUUGUUAUGGGCUGCAAGGAGUGUUCCUGAUCUCUCCAUCUGAGCAUCUGUCUCUAGAUGAGUAAUAACAACUAUCCCUGCAGCUCACUGGUUAUGCCACUACUGGCCGAGUCCUUUUGCUUACUAAGAGCUCUGGGUAGGGGGAAUGUUGAAAUGUGAAAAAUAUGUAACUAGACUUUGCAUAGAGAUGAAUAAGAAAUGUCAGUUGUCAGAUGGGAUUUAUUGGCUUUGAGUGCAUCCACUGAAUCAACAGAGCCAAAGUUUAAAGUUCUCAUGAAGAAAUCCUGGCCUAAGUAAAGGCAGUGGGAAUGUUGCCGAGGCAGAAUUUAAUCCGAGCCCCUCCCACCCUUUUAAGGGCUGUAUAAUCUUAAUAAAUUCUUCCUGUUCUUCUCAGGUCACUAGAAUCCUAUGCAUUAUCUUUAAAUUUACAUACCAAACUCUGAGCCAGGCCCGGCUUGGCAUAACUCCCGUAUAGCACUAGAUGCUUCUCCUUAGUUCUGCCUGAAUAGCAACAGAAGGUGCUGAUCUUUGUCUAUGGGCUUUUCUGGAAGGUUCAGGGUAUGCUGAACAUGGAGCCCAUCAGGAUAUCCUGAGAGGCUUUUGCCAGAAGAGAGUUCACAACAGAAGCUUUCUGAGCUGAGCCACACUUGCAAGUCAGGUUUAGCAUAGGAUCCUGAUUAAAAGAUCUUCCAGAAGCCUGUUCAUGUAAACCUCAUACAGAACCAAUACACGGAAGAGAUUCACAUUUUCAAACUGGACUAAAACAAAUGGAUGAAAUGCAAAUACUACAACAGGAAAUUAUAGAUAUAUAUGUAUAGAAAUAUAGAUAUAUCUUUUUAUAAUAAUCAACUGUUUGCUGUUUUUC